UGGGGAAUAUUGGACAAUGGGCGCAAGCCUGAUCCAGCCAUGCCGCGUGAGUGACGAAGGUCUUCGGAUUGUAAAGCUCUUUUUGGCGGGGACGAUAAUGACGGUACCUGAAGAAUAAGCCCCGGCAAACUUCGUGCCAGCAGCCGCGGUAAUACGAAGGGGGCUAGCGUUGUUCGGAAUUACUGGGCGUAAAGCGCACGUAGGCUGAUUGUUAAGUCAGGGGUGAAAUCCCAGAGCUCAACUCUGGAACUGCCCUUGAUACUGGCAAUCUCGAGUCCGGAAGAGGUUAGUGGAAUUCCCAGUGUAGAGGUGAAAUUCGUAGAUAUUGGGAAGAACACCAGUGGCGAAGGCGGCUAACUGGUCCGGUACUGACGCUGAGGUGCGAAAGCGUGGGGAGCAAACAGGAUUAGAUACCCACGUAGUCCCUGAGCGGGCUGGCAAGGCGCAU
Molecule: ribosomal RNA, 448 nt
Filed under: uncultured bacterium
Lineage: Bacteria
Description: bacterial SSU rRNA
Rfam family: Bacterial small subunit ribosomal RNA
Source: RNAcentral